GAUUUCGCUAAUUCUUUUUUUAAAAUAUUCCUUGAAGUACGAGGAUGGUUCUUACGGAGAGAAAAAUUCAAAAAAAAAAAUUUAAAUUUCCUGAAAAAUGAAAUCCCACCAAAAACAUUUUCAUGUAAAAUGUUGCCAAGACGAGAUCAUAUGGCUCGCACUGUCAAAAAGUCAUCAGAUCUCAUGUAGAGCCAAGCUUCUAACUCUACACGCCCUAACUCUACAAGCCCUAACUUCACAAA
Molecule: unclassified non-coding RNA, 242 nt
Filed under: Melitaea cinxia (Glanville fritillary)
Lineage: Eukaryota; Metazoa; Arthropoda; Insecta; Lepidoptera; Nymphalidae
Description: misc RNA ENSMCXG00005013477.1
Source: RNAcentral